UUUAUGGAGAGUUUGAUCCUGGCUCAGGACGAACGCUGGCUGCGUGCUUAACACAUGCAAGUCGAACGGAAAGGCCUCAGCUUGCUGGGGUACUCGAGUGGCGAACGGGUGAGUAACACGUGGGUGAUCUGCCCUGCACUUCAGGAUAAGCCUGGGAAACUGGGUCU
This 167-nucleotide ribosomal RNA is filed under the name Candidatus Corynebacterium avicola. RNAcentral's name for it is "partial 16S ribosomal RNA". It matches the Rfam family "Bacterial small subunit ribosomal RNA", at positions 1 to 164 of the family's 1533-position model. Lineage: Bacteria; Bacillati; Actinomycetota; Actinomycetes; Mycobacteriales; Corynebacteriaceae. The record is from RNAcentral.